AUCUCUGUAGAGUCUGCAUAUCAAUAAGCGGAGGAAAAGAAACUAACUAGGAUUCCCUAGUAACGGCGAGUGAAGCGGGAAGAGCUCAAAUUUGAAAUCUUAAAGGUUUUCCCUUGACGAAUUGUAGUUUAAAGAAGUGUUUUCUGUUGAGGUUUUGGUAAAAGUUCUUUGGAAUAGGACAUCAUAGAGGGUGAGAAUCCCGUAUUUGACCAUUACUUUCAGCUUUGUGAUACACUUUCAAAGAGUCGGAUUGUUUGGGAAUGCAGUCCAAAAUGGGUGGUAAAUUUCAUCUAAAGCUAAAUACUGGCGAGAGACCGAUAGCGAACAAGUACCGUGAGGGAAAGAUGAAAAGAACUUUGAAAAGAGAGUUAAACAGCUACGUGAAAUUGUCAAAAGGGAAGCGUUUGACACCAGUGUUGUUUUCUCGAAAAUCAAUUAAAAAAGGCAGGAUUUUGUGUUGUAUUGACUUUAUCAGCUUUCUGCACUCCUUUCUUGUCUUUUUUAAUGCACUUUUCGUUUAACAAGUCAACAUCAAUUUCUUUUGUUGUAAAAGGGUCAUUGGAAGGUGGCUUUCUUUUCGGAGAAAGUGUUUAUAGCCUUUGGCCUCUGCAAUCGGAGAGAUUGAGGUCUGCAGCGUAGAUCCUUCGGGGUUAGAUACAUUUGUGCUAAGUUAUAGCCUUUCAUAGACAACUUGUUGACUAUGAUCAGUCAUGUAGCUUACUCGCUUAUGCUAUUUUACCUACGCUUAGGAUGUUGACGAUCAGCUGAGCGCG
This 773-nucleotide ribosomal RNA is filed under the name uncultured Neocallimastigales. RNAcentral describes it as "partial large subunit ribosomal RNA". It matches the Rfam family "Eukaryotic large subunit ribosomal RNA", at positions 24 to 627 of the family's 3401-position model. Lineage: Eukaryota; Fungi; Neocallimastigomycota; Neocallimastigomycetes; Neocallimastigales. The record is from RNAcentral.